UACGGAGGGGGUUAGCGUUGUUCGGAAUUACUGGGCGUAAAGCGCACGUAGGCGGACCAGAAAGUCAGAGGUGAAAUCCCGGGGCUCAACCUCGGAACUGCCUCCAAAACUAUCAGUCUGGAGUUCGAGAGAGGUGAGUGGAAUUCCGAGUGUAGAGGUGAAAUUCGUAGAUAUUCGGAGGAACACCAGUGGCGAAGGCGGCUCACUGGCUCGAUACUGACGCUGAGGUGCGAAAGCGUGGGGAGCAAACGGG
This 253-nucleotide unclassified non-coding RNA is filed under the name uncultured Rhodobacterales bacterium. RNAcentral's name for it is "contains 16S-23S intergenic spacer region". It matches the Rfam family "Bacterial small subunit ribosomal RNA", at positions 524 to 776 of the family's 1533-position model. The record is from RNAcentral. Lineage: Bacteria; Pseudomonadati; Pseudomonadota; Alphaproteobacteria; Rhodobacterales.